GACGAACGCUGGCGGCGUGCUUAACACAUGCAAGCCGAACGGUGAAGCGCUUUCCUUUUUGGUUGGUGUGGAUGAGUGGCGAACGGGUGAGUAACACGUGAGUAACCUGCCCCCUUCUUCUGGAUAACCGCAUGAAAGUGUGGCUAAUACGGGAUAUUCUGCGCCUGCUGCAUGGUGGGUGUGGGAAAGAUUGUGCCUUUGGGUGUUUUCGGUGGGGGAUGGGCUCGCGGCCUAUCAGCUUGUUGGUGGGGUGAUGGCCUACCAAGGCGGUGACGGGUAGCCGGCCUGAGAGGGUGGACGGUCACACUGGGACUGAGACACGGCCCAGACUCCUACGGGAGGCAGCAGUGGGGAAUAUUGCACAAUGGGCGCAAGCCUGAUGCAGCGACGCCGCGUGAGGGAUGGAGGCCUUCGGGUUGUGAACCUCUUUCGCCAGUGAAGCAGGCCUGCUCCUUGUGGGUGGGUUGACGGUAGCUGGAUAAGAAGCGCCGGCUAACUACGUG
Molecule: ribosomal RNA, 503 nt
Filed under: uncultured bacterium
Lineage: Bacteria
Description: partial 16S ribosomal RNA
Rfam family: Bacterial small subunit ribosomal RNA
Source: RNAcentral